This 473-nucleotide ribosomal RNA is filed under the name uncultured bacterium. RNAcentral's name for it is "bacterial SSU rRNA". It matches the Rfam family "Bacterial small subunit ribosomal RNA", at positions 8 to 526 of the family's 1533-position model. The record is from RNAcentral.
AGGGUUCGAUCCUGGCUCAGAAUGAACGCUGGCGGCACGCUUAACACAUGCAAGUCGAACGAGAUCUUCGGAUCUAGUGGCAGACGGGUGAGUAACGCGUGGGAACCUGCCCAGUAGUAGAGAAUAACUUGGGGAAACUUAAGCUAAUACUUUAUACGUCCUUCGGGAGAAAGCUUUAUGCGCUAUUGGAUGGGCCCGCGUUAGAUUAGUUUGUUGGUGAGGUAACGGCUCACCAAGGCGACGAUCUAUAGCUGGUCUGAGAGGAUGAUCAGCCACACUGGGACUGAGACACGGCCCAGACUCCUACGGGAGGCAGCAGUGGGGAAUAUUGGACAAUGGGGGCAACCCUGAUCCAGCGAUGCCGCGUGAGUGAUGAAGGCCCUAGGGUUGUAAAACUCUUUCGUCGGGGAAGAUAAUGACGGUACCUGAAGAAGAAGAUCCGGCUAACUCCGUGCCAGCAGCCGCGGUAAUAC